UGGUGGAGUGAUUUAUCUGGUUAAGUCCGAUAACGAACGAGACUCUAGCAUACUAAAUAGUAUGGGUUAGUUAAGAAAUAGUUACUUACUUCUUAGAGGGAUUGGUGGCAUUUAGUCACAUGAGUAAUAACA
This 132-nucleotide ribosomal RNA is filed under the name uncultured eukaryote. Its description in RNAcentral is "partial 18S ribosomal RNA". It matches the Rfam family "Eukaryotic small subunit ribosomal RNA", at positions 1299 to 1452 of the family's 1831-position model. The record is from RNAcentral.